RNAcentral lists this ribosomal RNA (468 nucleotides) under uncultured bacterium. RNAcentral describes it as "partial 16S ribosomal RNA". It matches the Rfam family "Bacterial small subunit ribosomal RNA", at positions 28 to 507 of the family's 1533-position model. The record is from RNAcentral.
GACGAACGCUGGCGGCGUGCUUAACACAUGCAAGUCGAACGGAAAGGCCCUGCUUUUGUGGGGUGCUCGAGUGGCGAACGGGUGAGUAACACGUGAGUAACCUGCCCUUGACUUUGGGAUAACUUCAGGAAACUGAGGCUAAUACCGGAUAGGAGCUCCUGCUGCAUGGUGGGGGUUGGAAAGUUUCGGCGGUUGGGGAUGGACUCGCGGCUUAUCGGCUUGUUUGUUGGGUAGUGGCUUACCAAGGCUUUGACGGGUAGCCGGCCUGGGAGGGUGACCGGCCACGUUGGACUGGGACUGCGGCCCAGACUACAACGGUAGGCAACGGUGCAGAGUAUUACACUAUGGGAGGAGCGCAGGUGUAACAACGCCGCGCGCGGUGUGACGUCAUGGGGGUUGGAAUCCGCAUUCGCCUUUGACGAGGCGUGAGUGACGGUACCGGGUAAAUAAGCUCCGGCUAACUACGUG